Pipistrellus kuhlii (Kuhl's pipistrelle) is the source of this 2755-nucleotide long non-coding RNA. RefSeq lists it as uncharacterized. The transcript is spliced from 2 exons. The record is from RefSeq and is a predicted model, not a curated record. Lineage: Eukaryota; Metazoa; Chordata; Mammalia; Chiroptera; Vespertilionidae.
UCCAGACCAAAUAAAAGUAAUUAUUUUCACUAAGUGUUUCUUAGAUUUAUGGUAGCUACAAAACCCAUCUCCUCUACGCACGUUUCAAACUGCUAUCAGUGAUAAUUACUCCCUCCCCUAUAAAUUUCAGGAUAAUCUUUAUUCUCUUUGUCUUCUGUGAGCUUUACCAAAAGAGGAAGAAACCAGAGAAACAGUAGGAGACUCAAAUCUUAUGAUCAUGCCCAUCCCUGCCUCAAUUUUUUAGAAAAUUCCUCAUUGUAUACAGAAUAAUACCACUAUGACUCUAGAAUUCUAGAUAUGACUGCAUCACCUUUUCCCAUUGUUCUAAUCAUAUUAUACCUUCUACUCUAAAAUAAAUUCCUUCACAUCUCCCUAUCAAGAAGUUUCUAACCAACUCUUUGCCACAGAUAUAUUCUCAGACCACCAGUUUCAUCUCUUCACUCUUCUUUUUUCACCUGAACUAUCUAAUAGUUCAACAGAUCUUUAUUCACUAAUUCCUCAUGUGCCCUGUUCAAGUUUAGGGCAUACUUCCUACAAAAGUCACCAACCUCUCUUCUAUGAAGCCAUUCUUGACUGGAUGACUAUGAAAUUACCUCUCCCCACUCACAAUUCCUUGGUAUAAUUCUACACUUUUAAUUUCUUUAGAAAAUAUGUCUUUCAUUCUUCCACCUAGCAUCUUUCUUGUAUAUCAGGUGGUUGUAUAAUUUACAAUCUUAUCUUUCAUCUACACUAUACAUGAUACAGUAGGAAUGAUAUCUCAUCAAAGUGUAUUUCACUAUUUUGAAACAGCCUGAUAAUCUCAACUAGUUAUAGAGCCACAGUAUAAGUUUUGAAUGUAAUAUAAUUUCAAAUGGAAGACUAAAUUAGAUAUGGUGUCUAGGUUUAGUUAUACCUAAAUCCAUAAUAGAGGCAUUUAAUCAGAUCUGACUCUAGAUUACCCUCUAGUCACAGCUCUAGCACUCUGUUCUCUUCCAGCAGUCUUACUACAAUCUCCCAGGACACUUCAAUUACUGCUUCCUUAAGUCUGGAAUGCCUCUUGUUGGCCCUCUCCUUUUUCAGGGCCAACAUUCUUUCACCUUCAGGACCUACUCACUUCCAUUCAUCCACUAGGAAUCAACAGAACAUCUCCCUUGACCAUUCAGCUCCAAGUUAGAUUUUUCUUAUGCAAUCUCAGAAUACACAUAUUGAUGAACUGCAUUGUAAUUGUCAGUUUACUCUUCUACCACUCUUGAACUGUAAACUCCUUGAGAUACAGACUCAAUUUUAUUCCUUUUUGUUUCUCCAAGAUUUGACAUUGUUAGAUACCCAAAAGACAAUUAGUGAAGGAGUGUCCACACUGUGACCUUGCGCAGGGUGCAUACUUGAGUUUCCCCAUCUAAAGUAAUUUCAUCCUGUAAAGUGGGGAUAAUGCUAUACCUAGCUCAUAAAGUUGUUAUAAGGAUUAAAUGAGGGAUCACAAAGCCUUAGUAUAACCGAAACCGGUUUGGCUCAUAUAACUACCAUUUGAAUACCUGUUAUUUCAUGCCUUACUUAUCCUAAUGUAUGUAUCCUGGGAAAUGUAAUGUUGUGACUAAUACUUUCAGAUUGAAAGGCUUAGGUAGCAGACAUUAAUCUAUAAGUCACUGGUUACAUUCUGGUCAUCAGUAUGUAUUAUGUAUCUAUUAUAUGAGGAGUUUUUACAAGGUAUCACUGAGCUCCCAGAAUAAAAUAGGGGCAAAUAAUAAGACAAAAACCUGUCUCAAUAUUUAAAAAGAAAGAAUUUUGUUUCAACAAUAUGGGUAUUUUUCAAACUAUGUAAGCUCUGCUUUAUAAUAGGGUAAGUUUCAAGAACAAUUACUGACAGAGAGAGUUCAAAAUUAAUUCCUAUCAUCAAGUGGACCGAUUAACAGGAGCCAGUUCUAAAAUUUCUUGCUGCUAUUCACAAUUUUUAUUUUGCUUAUUAGUAUUUCUCACAAAAGUAACAACCAUGACCUGGACAGAGACAAAUGACCUAUAUUUGUCUCAUUCAAAUGUGAAUUCCUCAGUAUUUCCUUAGUUGUUUUUUUUUUUUUUCAAUUAGUAUAUAAACUUGUGGCUCUGAAAAAAUGGCUUGAGUUUUUGUCUGUUUUCUACACUGAAUGGCAUAUUUUCUUAAGAGAGAAUAAAAUGCACUUCUUAUUCACACUGGCCCUCAUCAAGAAUUACAAAACUGCAAAUCAUGUCACCUAGUAUAAGAAGAGGCUGGGAACUUAAAACUACUUCCCCCUACCAAAUCCGGAGGUCAGAGUCCCAAUGAAGUUUGUGCAUUAUAUUUCAAUGCUUUUAGUAAGCUGCAAAGAGACCUCUAGCGCUGCCUUAAUAAAUCGAGUUUGCAAAUAGUGCCUGCUUAUGUCAACUGAAUGAGACAAUGGCAACAUGCUGUGUGUAGCAACGAACUGAGUUACCACAUGAAUGUUUACAGUUUUGUAACCACAUCGAAAUUCUACCUGCCUGGAGCAGGAGGCAUACACAAGGCCGUAUAAACCCAUGGAUUCAACUUCUUUCAGCAAAACAUGUCAAAGAAAUAAUCCUGAGUGUAGCCCCAUGACAAACAAGAAAUGCUAAGGAAACAGGUCCUGUAAACGGGGGGUCGAAACAAUGUCUCUUCUAAAGCCUCAGCACAAUGGAUGGCAAACUAUUGUCCACCUUCAGCUUGCUCCAGAGGCCGGCGGUAACGGGAGAAUGAGCUGGAACAGCUCAGCCAGCGCGACUGGUCCAGAGGACAGCUCUGGAAUAG